This is a non-coding RNA of Termitomyces sp. Mi166#008, 88 nucleotides long. The record is from the annotation of a GenBank genome assembly. NCBI's taxonomy places the organism in Eukaryota, Fungi, Basidiomycota, Agaricomycetes, Agaricales, Lyophyllaceae.
GGCCGUGUGGCGAAAUGGCAUCGCGUCUGACUACGAAAUCUACUGGAUUUACAUCAGGAGAUUGCAGGUUCGACCCCUGUCUCGGUCA